Non-coding RNA from Bos taurus (domestic cattle), 71 nucleotides. The record is from Rfam. Lineage: Eukaryota; Metazoa; Chordata; Mammalia; Artiodactyla; Bovidae.
AGAGGUGCGUGUGCCUUUUCUGCACACUCUGUAUACACGCGCGCACACGUAGUAGAGGUGCGUGUGCCUUU